GAUAAACGCUGGCGGCGUGCAUAACACAUGCAAGUCGAACGAAGUGGCGAACGGGUGAGUAACACGUGAGUAACCUGCCUUACACAAGGGGAUAGCCUUUGGAAACGAAGAAUAAUACCCUAUAGUGUAAGAUGGACUUGCGUCUGAUUAGCUAGUUGGUGAGAUAAAAGCCCACCAAGGCGACGAUCAGUAGCCGGCGUGAGAGCGUGUACGGCCACAUUGGGACUGCGACACGGCCCAAACUCUACGGGAGGCAGCAGUGGGGAAUUUUGCACAAUGGGGGAAACCCUGAUGCAGCGACGCCGCGUGAUUUAGAAGGCCUUCGGGUUGUAAACCUCUUCGCUAUCGAACACUAUAGGGUGGGUUGAGGGUAGGUGGAGAAGAAGCGCCGGCUAACUACGUGCCAGCAGCCGCGGUAAUAC
Molecule: ribosomal RNA, 422 nt
Filed under: uncultured bacterium
Lineage: Bacteria
Description: partial 16S ribosomal RNA
Rfam family: Bacterial small subunit ribosomal RNA
Source: RNAcentral